This 434-nucleotide ribosomal RNA is filed under the name uncultured bacterium. RNAcentral describes it as "bacterial SSU rRNA". It matches the Rfam family "Bacterial small subunit ribosomal RNA", at positions 355 to 786 of the family's 1533-position model. The record is from RNAcentral.
GGAUGAAUAUUGGUCAAUGGUCGCUAGACUGAACCAGCCAAGUAGCGUGCGGGAUGAAGGCCCUCCGGGUCGUAAACCGCUUUUAGACGGGGAUAAAAGGGCGUACGUGUACGCCGUAUUGCAUGUACCGUCAGAAAAAGGACCGGCUAAUUCCGUGCCAGCAGCCGCGGUAAUACGGAAGGUCCGGGCGUUAUCCGGAUUAUUGGGUUUAAAGGGAGCGUAGGCGGACUUUCAAGUCAGUGGUAAAAUCGUGUGGCUCAACCAUACCUCGCCAUUGAAACUGGAAGUCUGGAGUGCACACAGGGGUGCCGGAAUUCAUGGUGUAGCGGUGAAAUGCUUAGAUAUCAUGAAGAACUCCGAUCGCGAAGGCAAGUGCCCGGGGUGCAACUGACGCUGAGGCUCGAAGGUGCGGGUAUCGAACAGGAUUAGAUACC